GGGGAAUUAGCUCAGUUGGUAGAGCGGUAGGUUCGCAAUCUACAGGCCAGGGGUUCGAAUCCCCUAUUCUCCA
Molecule: transfer RNA, 73 nt
Filed under: Treponema sp.
Lineage: Bacteria; Pseudomonadati; Spirochaetota; Spirochaetia; Treponematales; Treponemataceae
Also listed under: 1 other name
Description: tRNA-Ala
Rfam family: tRNA
About the family: Transfer RNA (tRNA) molecules are approximately 80 nucleotides in length.
Source: RNAcentral